Phalacrocorax carbo (great cormorant) is the source of this 2574-nucleotide non-coding RNA. The record is from RefSeq and is a predicted model, not a curated record. Lineage: Eukaryota; Metazoa; Chordata; Aves; Suliformes; Phalacrocoracidae.
GGCGGGGAGGUGACCCCGGGUGGGCGGGGCAGCUCCGCCCCGCCCACCCGCGCACUUAAAGGGACCGCGAUGGUGCGGAAACGCCCGUAAGGGUGGGGGCAAUGGUGGGUGUAGGGCUGGCCUCUGUGGUGGCUCCGCGGUUCUGCUCCUGCCCGCGGGGUGUAACGGCACUUUCUCAGUUGGAAAGCCUAGCCUAAGGAGAGGCGCCCCCGCCCUGCUGGGCUGCUAACGGCUGAGGGGCCGCCCUCGCUCGGGGUCUCUCCGCACCCACCGCCCGUCCCGCCUCAGCGGGGGGCCGGGCCCUGCCCCGCCAUGGAGAAAUACGAGGUGCUGGAGCAGCUCCAGCCUGGGGCGCUGGGCACUAUGCUGGUAGUUGAAUUGAAAACAGAAAAGGGUGCAGAGAAGAAAUAUGUUCUGAAGCAGGUUGAAUGCAUUGAAGAAAAGCAAGCAAAUGAGGCCUUGAAGGAGGCAAUGGAUUUGCUAAAACUUCAUCAUUCAAACAUCUGUGCUUACAAGGAAGUGUUUGUGACUUGGGAUAAUGAGAUAUCAUCUCUGUUCCUUUGUCUGGUAAUGCAGCACUCGGGCCAAGGAGAUCUUUCAUCAGUAAUCAAGGAAAAAAGGCAGAGAUCAGAAAAAAUAACAGACAUGGUGAUUCUGAAGUUCCUGGGACAGAUGGUAGAUGCUUUGCUUUAUAUACACAAACGGAGUAUUUUCCACAGAAAUCUCAAGCCAUCAAACAUUCUUGUGACUGGUGAAGCAUCCUUCAUGCUUAGUGACUUCAGUACAGAAACACUUAUGACAGAUGAGAUGAAAUGGAAAAUAAGAGUGGAAGAAAAUAGCAAGUCUUGGAUGGCUCCAGAAACAUUUGGUUUUUCUUUUACUGAGAAAUCUGACAUCUGGUCUCUAGGCUGUAUUCUACUUGACAUGACGACCUGCUUUGUUCUGAAUGCAGAAGAGAUAACUUCAUUACUGCAGGAUAUUAGACAGGAUACCAGCUGUCUUGAGGGAGUUCUGACACUGAUGCAAAAUGGAGAUAACAGCUCUUUGCCAUUAUUUCCAGUUUUAUUUAUGAUGCUACAGAUUCAGCCCAGCAUGAGACCCACAGCAAAGGAUCUGACUGAUGUUCCAUUUAUUAGGGAAUGCCUGACUGUUGCUGGUGCCUCUUUAGUAAAUGUGAAAAAGUCUUUGCCUUCCAAAAUAAUAGAUGUGCUCCUUGAGGGAGGAAUCGAAAGUGUUCUAGAAUUCAUGCAGGCUUUCUGGGAUAUAGAAGAAGCACAGGCUAAAGCCAUUCAACACCUUGCCAGCUUUGUAAGAGAUAAAAGUGCCUUGCCCUACCUGCUGACAUUCACAGAAUUGAUCACUUUUGCCAUGAAGACUCAUGUAGAUUCUCUCAAGUUACAAGUAGAUGGUUGCAGUUUAUUGCUUGAAAUCUUUAGUCAAGCUCUAGAACAGGAUGUGGUGAUGGCCCUGGGUGAGAAUGUGACCAGCUCUCUGUCGGAGACAGUGAGAAAACACUCGGAAAAUGAAGAGUUACUGUCAUUGCUCUGCACAUUAUUGAUGAUGAUUUCAGCCAGUGAAGUUGCUGCAGAGAAUCUAAGGAAAGUUGGAGUAAUUCCAGACCUUCUGUCAAUUUUAAGAAAUUUUUAUCAUAAUGAAAAGAUCUGCCUCUCUUGCUGUGGAGCUCUCUGGAGCUUGGCUGCGAGUGAGAAAAAUGUAGACCAAGCAUUGCUGAAAAGUGGAGUCCCUGUUAUCUCUGUGGUCCUUCAAGAGCACCUCCAGAAUGGAACAGUUACGGAGUCUGCUUGCUCGGCUCUGUGGGCAUUGUCACUUCAAGGCUGCUUAACAGAAAAUGAUUAUGAGCCCACAACAGUGCUUCUGCUGGAUGCGCUCAGGAUGAAUCUAGAAAGACCAGUGCUGGUGAAGAAUGCGUGCCUGGCAUUAGCAAGCCUUCUAAGGCAAUCUGAAAUAUCAGCUUUGAGAUUUAUAACGGAUUCAAAAGGCAGUGGAAUAAACCUGAUCAAAGAUGCCUACAACCUUCACUUUGAUGAUCCAGAAGUGGUGGAAAGUAUCUGUGUGCUGGUUAACGAGAUGGUUCAGUAUGGUGAGAUGGUGGUGGUGUUUGUCAAGUCUCUUCCUCUCCCCAACUCCCAAAAGAAUGUUAAGAAAACCAUAACAGCAGCUGCUCAGGGAUGUGUUAGUUGCUCUCAGGAAAGACUUCCUAUAUAUCUGAGAAGGGAGGAUGAAUUGGAACUGAGAGGUCAUCCCACCUGCUCUUGGAUAAUUAUAAAUGCCCCUCUGAUGUUAUAACUUCAUCUUAUAUCUUGCCUUCUGUUUGUGUAGAUGUCUCCUCCCUGCUCUCUUUUAGCUCCUGCUGAAACCAUUGGCAGUUGUAACCUUACAUUAUCCUGUUCAUUUACACUACAGAUGAUGUUGUGCUGGAUAUGCUGUCCCAGAAGAUGGAAGAACUGCUGUUUGAAAUAAAAAACCGUUUUCCAUCUAGCGUGGAGAUAAUGACCCUUGUGGAUCCAACGCUUUUGAAACUGCAGAAGUAAAAGAAGAACUUUUUGUAUAAGA